Molecule: ribosomal RNA, 264 nt
Filed under: uncultured bacterium
Lineage: Bacteria
Description: partial 16S ribosomal RNA
Rfam family: Bacterial small subunit ribosomal RNA
Source: RNAcentral
GAAAUAGUGGGUAAUACCGAAUACGUUCGGCAGGGUAAGCCUGCCGAGGAAAAGCGCUUCGGCGCUGCCCUGAGGAUGAGCCCGUGUCCCAUUAGCUAGUUGGUGAGGUAACGGUCCACCAAGGCUAUGAUGGGUAGGCGGCCUGAGAGGGUGUACGCCCACACUGGGACUGAGAUACGGGCCAUACUCCUACGGGAGGCAGCAGCUAAGAAUAUUCCGCAAUGGACGAAAGUCUGACGGAGCGACGCCGCGUGGAUGACGAAG